GACGAACGCUGGCGGCGUGCUUAACACAUGCAAGUCGAACGGAAAGGCCCUGCUUUUUUGGUGUGCUCGAUUGGCGAACGGGUGAGUAACACGUGAGUAACCUGCCCUUGACUUUGGGAUAACUUCAGGAAACUGGGGCUAAUACCGGAUAGGAGCCCCUGCUGCAUGGUGGGGGUUGGAAAGUUUCGGCGGUUGGGGAUGGACUCGCGGCUUAUCAGCUUGUUGGUGGGGUAGUGGCUUACCAAGGCUUUGACGGGUAGCCGGCCUGAGAGGGUGACCGGCCACAUUGGGCCUGAGAUACGGCGCAGACGCGUACGGGAGGCAGCAGUGGGGAAUAUUGCACAAUGGGCGGAAGCCUGAUGCAGCAACGCCGCGUGCGGGAUGACGGUCUUCGGGUUGUAAACCGCUUUCGCCUGUGACGAAGCGUGAGUGACGGUAAUGGGUAAAGAAGCACCGGCUAACUACGUG
Molecule: ribosomal RNA, 468 nt
Filed under: uncultured bacterium
Lineage: Bacteria
Description: partial 16S ribosomal RNA
Rfam family: Bacterial small subunit ribosomal RNA
Source: RNAcentral